Molecule: RNA transcript, 1414 nt
Organism: Varanus komodoensis (Komodo dragon)
Lineage: Eukaryota; Metazoa; Chordata; Lepidosauria; Squamata; Varanidae
Gene: CADM4
Gene name: cell adhesion molecule 4
Exons: 11
Source: RefSeq, a predicted model, not a curated record
GGAGCGGCAGGCACUCGCCUGCGGUGGCCGCGGCUGGGAUUUUAUUGCUGUGCGUGGCUGGCAGAGUUCAUGGAGGAGAGUGUUGAACUUUACUUGCAAGUGGCUGGCAUCUCAAUCAAUCAAUCACUUUCUCUGUGGAGAGGUCAGUCUUUGCUCAGGCUGAAGUUCCAGCAUGGCUCCAAGCCUGCAGGCCUGUCAGCCAGAGCUCAGGAGGUCCAAGCCGAGAAUGUGACGGUGGUGGAGGGUGGCCAGGCUGAGAUCAACUGCAAGCUGCACCAGUACGACGGCUCCAUAGUGGUGAUCCAGAACCCAUCCCGCCAGACGCUCUUCUUCAAUGGCACGCGGGCCCUCAAAGACGAGCGUUUUCAGUUGGUGGAGUUCACCCAGAAGCAGGUCCGCAUUGUCCUCUCCAACGCCCGUCUAGAUGACGAAGGUGGCUAUUUCUGUCAGCUGUAUACAGAAGACACGCACCACCAGAUUGCCAUCCUGACCGUCCUGGUGCCUCCUGAAAACCCACUGGUGGAGGUAAAAGAGCAAGCCGUGGAAGGGGGAGAAAUCGAACUCACCUGCACUGUUCCCAGAUCGCGCCCCGCGGCCACCCUGCGCUGGUACCGGGACCGAAGAGAGCUUAAAGGAAUCAGAAGCACCAAGGAGGAGAACGGGAAGGUGUUCAGCAUCACCAGCGUGGUGCGCUUCCGAGUGGAACGCAAGGACCACAGCGGCAUCGUGACGUGCGAGGCCACGCACCCGGCGCUGCACGGGCAGCGGAAGCAGACGCAGUACGUGCUAGAUGUGCAGUACUCGCCCACCGCAAGGAUCCAUCCACCCCAGGGGGUGAUGCGGGAAGGAGACACUUUGGUCCUGACUUGUGCCGUCAACGGCAACCCACUCCCCACGGAUAUCAAGUGGAGCCGAGCAAACGACUCGUUGCCUGAGCGGGCCCUGAUCGAGGGCGAGGUGCUGACCAUCUCCAGCCUCAGCAUGCUGGACAACGGCACCUACUCCUGCCAGGUGGCCAACAAGCAUGGCCGCUCGUCGGACCAGUACGUGCUGGUGGUUUACGACCCCGGGGCUAUCGUGGAGGCCCAGACUUCGGUGCCCUACGCCAUCGUCGGGGGCAUCCUGGCGCUGCUGGUCUUCCUCGUCAUCUGUGUGCUGAUAGUCAUGGUGUGGUGCUCCAUUCGGCAGAAAGAGGCGCAGCGUGCCAGAAGGUAGGAGCCCUGGAUCGGGGCUUGGCGAUGCCAGUCCUCCCUCGGAACUGAUGCUCCCGGGGUGACUUUGGGCCCGUCGUGGAAUCUCAGCUCACCCUGCCUCACACAACUGUUGUUCAGAGGAUGAGGCAGGAGGCUCCUACCUGACGCAUGAGGCCAGUGGUCUGGAUGAACACGGGGAAGCCCGCGAGGCCUUUCUUAAC